CACAACCCGCGUGAAGGAUUGCAGUGAAAAUCCUUUUUUAUCAUGCAGCGACAGCGGAAUGAUAAAAAAGAUUGCAACGAAAAGCCUGACCCGCC
Molecule: small RNA, 95 nt
Filed under: Flavobacterium weaverense
Lineage: Bacteria; Pseudomonadati; Bacteroidota; Flavobacteriia; Flavobacteriales; Flavobacteriaceae
Description: Flavo-1 RNA
Rfam family: Flavo-1 RNA
Source: RNAcentral